This 608-nucleotide ribosomal RNA is filed under the name uncultured bacterium. RNAcentral describes it as "bacterial SSU rRNA". The stretch from base 1 to 519 matches the Rfam family "Bacterial small subunit ribosomal RNA", at positions 338 to 873 of the family's 1533-position model. The record is from RNAcentral.
CCUACGGGAGGCAGCAGUGGGGAAUAUUGCACAAUGGGCGAAAGCCUGAUGCAGCGACGCCGCGUGAGGGAUGACGGCCUUCGGGUUGUAAACCUCUUUCAGCAGGGAAGAAGCGCAAGUGACGGUACCUGCAGAAGAAGCACCGGCUAACUACGUGCCAGCAGCCGCGGUAAUACGUAGGGUGCGAGCGUUGUCCGGAAUUAUUGGGCGUAAAGAGCUCGUAGGCGGUCUGUCGCGUCGGAUGUGAAAGCCCGGGGCUUAACCCCGGGUCUGCAUUCGAUACGGGCAGACUAGAGUGUGGUAGGGGAGAUCGGAAUUCCUGGUGUAGCGGUGAAAUGCGCAGAUAUCAGGAGGAACACCGGUGGCGAAGGCGGAUCUCUGGGCCAUUACUGACGCUGAGGAGCGAAAGCGUGGGGAGCGAACAGGAUUAGAUACCCUGGUAGUCCACGCCGUAAACGUUGGGAACUAGGUGUUGGCGACAUCACGUCGUCGGUGCGCNGCUACGCAUAGUUCCUCGCGUGGGAGGUACGGCCGCGAGGACGUAAACGUAACGUAAAGAAGUUAGACGGUCGUUGAGACGUUGCCGACGGCGACGACGAGGGAGGAGG